GAGUUUGAUCUUGGCUCAGAUUGAACGCUGGCGGCAGGCCUAACACAUGCAAGUCGAGCGGAUGACGGGAGCUUGCUCCUUGAUUCAGCGGCGGACGGGUGAGUAAUGCCUAGGAAUCUGCCUGGUAGUGGGGGGACAACGUUUCGAAAGGAACGCUAAUACCGCAUACGUCCUACGGGAGAAAGCAGGGGACCUUCGGGCCUUGCGCUAUCGGAUGAGCCUAGGUCGGAUUAGCUAGUUGGUGGGGUAAUGGCUCACCAAGGCGACGAUCCGUAACUGGUCUGAGAGGAUGAUCAGUCACACUGGAACUGAGACACGGUCCAGACUCCUACGGGAGGCAGCAGUGGGGAAUAUUGGACAAUGGGCGAAAGCCUGAUCCAGCCAUGCCGCGUGUGUGAAGAAGGUCUUCGGAUUGUAAAGCACUUUAAGUUGGGAGGAAGGCAGUAAGUUAAUACCUUGCUGUUUUGACGUUACCGACAGAAUAAGCACCGGCUAACUCUGUGACAGCCGCCGCC
Molecule: ribosomal RNA, 515 nt
Filed under: bacterium enrichment culture clone ALO1_GLFRUDD03FX2HY
Lineage: Bacteria
Description: bacterial SSU rRNA
Rfam family: Bacterial small subunit ribosomal RNA
Source: RNAcentral